Canis lupus familiaris (dog) is the source of this 2501-nucleotide long non-coding RNA. RefSeq lists it as uncharacterized. The record is from RefSeq and is a predicted model, not a curated record. Lineage: Eukaryota; Metazoa; Chordata; Mammalia; Carnivora; Canidae. The transcript has 2 exons.
CGGAGGUGGGCCGGCGGCGGCGGCGGCGGCGGCGCGCGAGGUCACCGCGGUGGCAUUCCUCCCCGCGCGCUGUUUACGUGACUUAAUGUGCUGCCUGCGCCGCGGCUUGUUAUCUAGGCCACCCAUGACCGACGAAAGAGCCUGCCUCCCUGCUUCUCCCAAGGCCGCUUUAAACCAAAUAAAUUUAGCUAUUAAGGGCCAAGAUGCCUGGCAAAAGAUCGAAAGGUGUCUAUCCGCGAUCGCUUAGAGAAGCGAAGGAGAAGCCCGUGGCUCUCUGAUCCCGAUAAAGACAUUCCGCCCGGCGCCGGCCGCCCUCCCCCGGCCUGGUGCGUCCCGACAGCCUGGCAUCUCCGCGCCGCGGGCCAGACCUCCACCGGCCCGGCGCGACCUGUGGCUGCUGCACCGGGAACGUGGAGGUGCCCAGGCCUCGGGGUCCCCCGGAGCCGUGGCACUCCGGGCUCCAGGGGCCUGGGCUCCCAAAGCAGAGCCCCUGCGCUUGGCAGGAAAUCUAAACCCAGCUCAGGAGGGCCUGAGUUACUAUCCCGUUUUGAUUAUUUUCUGAUGCUGAAUAAUAAUCCUCCGGUCACCCCACCCCUGCCUUCCCACUCUCCCCCGACCCCCUGCGGUUUUGCCUAGGGUCGGAGUUCCUCCAAAUCUCUGGUCCCAGGGAGCAGAACUUUUGAGUCCCCGGCCUCCUCCUCCGCCGGCCGCCGGUCAGAACCUGGUGGGUGGAACUGGGCAUCCAAAGGAGACUGAGGCCGAUGGGGAGGGUGGGGACUGCCAGCACGCAGGUGGGAGGCAGAGGUCCCAUGAUUCAGUCAUCGCCAGGUUGGGUUUGGUUAUGAAGUGUGAUAUUUAUUGUCAUUAUUAAUUACUGCUGGCAUCACUACACAAAGCCUAGGGCUGCCAGCUGGGUGGAGGCCCUGCCCGGAGAGUGCUCCCUUCCCUCUCACUAAAGGUGAAGCAGGCAAUAUCCACUUUCCUGACCCAGGACCGGGAACUGGUCUUGGGGAGCCAGGUGCCAUGUUUUUUUGGGGGGGUUCUGCAAGUCAUUUCUUUUCCCCCCUGUAGAGGUAGCUUUCCCCACUCUAGGCUCACCUAAGCCUUUUCUACCUCUUUGCAGUAUGGGUGGAUAAGAACCUUGGGGUGGCAGAUUAGAGAGACUGCAUUGGCUUCCCUGCAGUGGGGAUUCUUUCCGUAUCUUAUGCUGCCCCCCAUGUUCUAUGGUGAAGUUGGAGACUGGACUCUGAAUUCCAAAGGGCAAACCAACAUCUUCGGUUUCGUCACCUCAUGCUGGGCCCCGGAUGUUAAAGAAGCCUCUCUUUUCUCAUGGCCCCACUCCAAAUAAGGUGAACUCCAAACCCUUCCACCUUAUCUAAUCCUUCCCCCUCACCCAGCCUCCAGGGAUAGGGAAAAUCAGGGCAUCAGAAGGAAAGGGAUCAUUUCUGCUCCCCAAAAGGUGGAAGAGAUACAUAAAUUUCCAACACACUAGACAGACAGGAUCUGGGCUUCCCCUGGGGUUUGCUGGUAUCACUAGAUGUGCAGACAAUGCCAGUUCUAGGGUCAGAGUCCAGAUGCCACUGCCACAGAGCUGGUCUCAGCUCAGAGACCUUUCUGUUUUACUUUUCUUGGGCCAGGUGGAGGUGGAGGGGGGAGUGCUAAGGGGAAGCAGAAAAGGAGGUGAUAAGCUUUUAGAGAUCUGCUAAGUAACUCAUGCUCCUUUAAGUCAAUUAAAGAGGGGAAAGUGCCCCCUCAAAUAAAAAACUACUGCAUUUGCCACCCAGAAUUACAACCUCUGCACUCAGUCAUGUUGAAAAUAUGCAGAGAAUCAGAACCAAGAGUUGUCUGCCCAUAUGCAGCCCUCCAGUUUCCUGCACUUGCCCAAUAGCACUGCGUAUAUACUCCACAAAGAAGAAGGGUUAGCAACUAAUUUUGAAGUGUUUACAGUCUAGAAGGUUGGCGCUUCUGUAGAGCCGGUUAGGCAAAGUACCACAGACAGCUUCGAAGAUGGAGAGGGAUGCUUGAUCCUUUCUCUGCAAAUGUGCCCAGGCUCACAUUGUCCUCUAGCCUUCACAGUGAGUUUGUAAAGAAGGGAGUCAUUCUGGUCCACGGACUGAAGGAAUUACCUCUGUUGGAAUCCUGACGCCACCACUUUCUAACUGUGUGACCAGGGCAAAUUGCCUCACCCUCUCUGUGCCUCGGUUUUCUCAUCUGUGACAUGGGGAUGAUAAAAGUACCUCCCCCUUUCAGGAUUGUUAAGGGGAUUGAAUGAUUUCUUAUAGGUAGAGUGCUAAGAGUACCUGGCACAUAGCAAGCACUCCGUAAGUGUGAACUAUUAUUACCGAUAACUGUACUGUAAUAGACUUGCAUGUACCACAACAAAUUUCAAUUUCUUGUGUGACCCAGCUGUUCCCCAGAGCUAAAUAAUUUGCAGGAAAGAACAUUUUUGCGCACCAACUUGAAGUCCUGCCAUUCAUUAAAGGUCUCAGGCUUUUUCUACA